RNAcentral lists this ribosomal RNA (253 nucleotides) under uncultured bacterium. RNAcentral describes it as "partial 16S ribosomal RNA". It matches the Rfam family "Bacterial small subunit ribosomal RNA", at positions 524 to 776 of the family's 1533-position model. The record is from RNAcentral.
UACGUAGGGUGCGAGCGUUGUCCGGAAUUACUGGGCGUAAAGAGCUCGUAGGUGGUUUGUCGCGUUGUCCGUGAAAACUCACAACUCAAUUGUGGGCGUGCGGGCGAUACGGGCAGACUGGAGUACUGCAGGGGAGACUGGAAUUCCUGGUGUAACGGUGAAAUGCGUAGAUAUCUGGAGGAACACCGGUGGCGAAGGCGGCAUCCUGGACCAACACUGACACUGAGGAGCGAAAGCCAGGGGAGCAAACGGG